AGGGGGUGCGAGCGUUGCUCGGAAUCACUGGGCGUAAAGCGUACGCAGGCGGACCGUUAAGUCGGGUGUGAAAGCCCGGGGCUCAACCCCGGAAUUGCAUUCGAUACUGGCGGUCUUGAGUACGGGAGAGGUGAGUGGAAUUCCUGGUGUAGAGGUGAAAUUCGUAGAUAUCAGGAGGAACACCGGUGGCGAAAGCGGCUCACUGGCCCGAUACUGACGCUCAUGUACGAAAGCGUGGGGAGCAAACAGGAUUAGAUACCCUGGUAGUCCACGCCGUAAACGAUGAGUGCUAGCUGCUGGCGAUCCUUUAAUUUUCGUCGGUGGCGUAGCUAACGCGUUAAGCACUCCGCCUGGGAAGUACGGCCGCAAGGUUA
This 374-nucleotide ribosomal RNA is filed under the name uncultured bacterium. RNAcentral describes it as "bacterial SSU rRNA". It matches the Rfam family "Bacterial small subunit ribosomal RNA", at positions 527 to 896 of the family's 1533-position model. The record is from RNAcentral.